AAAGCUCAGAGUAAUGAGAUGUGAGAAGGACUCACCAAGGCUUACCAGCUUUGAAGUUGCAGGAAAAGAGCUGAGCCAAGGAAUGCAGGUGGUCUCUAGAAGCUAGAACAGUAAAACAGUAACAACAAAACAACACGUGGUUUAAAAGUAAAAUCUGCUGACAAAGAUGAAAUUGACGUGAAGGCACUUUCCUACCUCAUAUCCAUGCCACACCACAACCCUGCCACCACCAUGAGUACAAGGCCGUCUUGCCUGCUGGAUAUGAGAGAAGAUGAGAGAAGCCCACAUGAAGAGAGGAGCUGCCCCAGCUGAGGCAAUCCUGGACGAACCAGCCCCUAACCAACCCGGCCAUAGAUUAUUCACCCAUGAUUAGCCCAGAAAAGCCCCAGCUGAGUGAAGCCCAAAUUGCUAAUUUGGAGAUAUAUGAGCUAAAUAAAUAGUUGUUGUUCUAAGCCACCAUGUUUUGGGACUGAUUGUUACAUGGCAAUUGUUAGGUAGCUUCUUUGUGUACUGGCAAAUGAAAAAAGAAAUGCUCCUGAUUUCAUCUUAAAUUACCACUUGGGUUUUAACUGGAAGAAGCAGCAGUUCCCUUUUAGGGUCAACACGUUAGAUGAAAGAACUGACUUGUUUCUCC
RNAcentral lists this long non-coding RNA (634 nucleotides) under Equus caballus (horse). Its description in RNAcentral is "lncRNA (ENSECAG00000045990.1)". The record is from RNAcentral. Lineage: Eukaryota; Metazoa; Chordata; Mammalia; Perissodactyla; Equidae.